RNAcentral lists this ribosomal RNA (476 nucleotides) under uncultured bacterium. RNAcentral's name for it is "partial 16S ribosomal RNA". It matches the Rfam family "Bacterial small subunit ribosomal RNA", at positions 30 to 507 of the family's 1533-position model. The record is from RNAcentral.
UUGAACGCUGGCGGCAUGCCUUACACCUGCAAGUCGAACGGUAACAGGUUAAGCUGGCGAGUGGCGAACGGGUGAGUAAUACAUCGGAACGUGCCCAGUAGUGGGGGAUAGCCCGGCGAAAGCCGGAUUAAUACCGCAUACGACCUAAGGGUGAGAGGGGGGGAUCGCAAGACCUCUCGCUAUUGGAGCGGCCGAUGUCAGAUUAGCUAGUUGGUGGGGUAAAAGCUCACCAAGGCGACGAUCUGUAGCUGGUCUGAGAGGACGACCAGCCACACUGGGACUGAGACACGGCCCAGACUCCUACGGGAGGCAGCAGUGGGGAAUUUUGGACAAUGGGCGCAAGCCUGAUCCAGCCAUGCCGCGUGCGGGAAGAAGGCCUUCGGGUUGUAAACCGCUUUUGUCAGGGAAGAAAUCCUUUGGGUUAAUACCUCGGGGGGAUGACGGUACCUGAAGAAUAAGCACCGGCUAACUACGUG